This 497-nucleotide ribosomal RNA is filed under the name uncultured bacterium. RNAcentral's name for it is "partial 16S ribosomal RNA". It matches the Rfam family "Bacterial small subunit ribosomal RNA", at positions 28 to 507 of the family's 1533-position model. The record is from RNAcentral.
GAUGAACGCUGGCGGCGUGCCUAAUACAUGCAAGUCGAGCGAACAGACGAGGAGCUUGCUCCUCUGACGUUAGCGGCGGACGGGUGAGUAACACGUGGAUAACCUACCUAUAAGACUGGGAUAACUUCGGGAAACCGGAGCUAAUACCGGAUAAUAUAUUGAACCGCAUGGUUCAAUAGUGAAAGACGGGUGUUCUGUCACCUAUCGAUGGAUCCGCGCCGCAUUAGCUAGUUGGUAAGGUAACGGCUUACCAAGGCAACGAUGCGUAGCCGACCUGAGAGGGUGAUCGGCCACACUGGAACUGAGACACGGUCCAGGCUCCUACGGGAGGCAGCAGUAGGGAAUCUUCCGCAAUGGGCGAAAGCCUGACGGAGCAACGCCGCGUGAGUGAUGAAGGUCUUCGGAUCGUAAAGCUCUGUUAUUAGGGAAGAACAAAUGUGUAAGUAACUAUGCACGUCUUGACGGUACCUAAUCAGAAAGCCACGGCUAACUACGUG